UUACGACUACAUAUCAGGCAUAUCAAUAAGCGGAGGAAAAGAAACUAACUAGGAUUCCCUCAGUAACGGCGAGUGAAGCGGGAAGAGCUCAAAUUUGAAAUCUUCAAGGUUCUACCUUGACGAAUUGUAGUUUAAAGAAGUGUUUUCUGUUGAAGUUUGGUCAAAAGUUCUCUGGAAUAGGACAUCAUAGAGGGUGAGAAUCCCGUAUUUGACCAUUAUUUCCAGCUUUGUGAUACACUUUCAAAGAGUCGGAUUGCUUGGGAAUGCAGUCCAAAAUGGGUGGUAAAUUUCAUCUAAAGCUAAAUAUUGGCGAGAGACCGAUAUGCGAACAAGUACCGUGAGGGAAAGAUGAAAAGAACUUUGAAAAGAGAGUUAAACAGUACGUGAAAUUGUCAAAAGGGAAGCGUUUGACACCAGUGUUGUUUUCUCGAAAAUCAAUUAAAAAAUAGUUGGAUUUUGUGUUGUAUUGACCUUAACAGCUUGCUUCACUCUUUUCCAGCCUUUUUUAAUGCACUUUUCGUUUAACAAGUCAACAUCAGUUUCUUUUGUUGUAAAAGGGUCAUUGGAAGGUGGCUUUCUCUUCGGAGAAAGUGUAUAUAGCCUUUGAUCUCUGCAAUCGGAGAGAUUGAGGUCUGCAGCGUAGAUCCUUCGGGGUUAGAUACAUUGGUGCUAAGCUAUAGCCUUGUAUAGACAACUUGUUGACUAUGCUCAGUCAUGUAGCUUACUCGCUGAUGCUAUUUUACCUACGCUUAGGAUGUUGAGCGCAUGUCUCUCUCU
RNAcentral lists this ribosomal RNA (777 nucleotides) under uncultured Neocallimastigales. Its description in RNAcentral is "partial large subunit ribosomal RNA". It matches the Rfam family "Eukaryotic large subunit ribosomal RNA", at positions 24 to 616 of the family's 3401-position model. The record is from RNAcentral. Lineage: Eukaryota; Fungi; Neocallimastigomycota; Neocallimastigomycetes; Neocallimastigales.